This 71-nucleotide transfer RNA is filed under the name Streptosporangium album. RNAcentral's name for it is "tRNA-Thr". Lineage: Bacteria; Bacillati; Actinomycetota; Actinomycetes; Streptosporangiales; Streptosporangiaceae. The record is from RNAcentral.
GACGGUCCUGGACGAUCGUGUCUUCACUCGUAAUGAAGGGGUCUGGGAUUCGAUUCCCCAAGGCGGCUCCA